CCUACGGGAGGCAGCAGUGAGGAAUAUUGGUCAAUGGGCGGGAGCCUGAACCAGCCAAGUCGCGUGAAGGAAGAAGGUACUUAGUAUUGUAAACUUCUUUUGUCGGGGAACAAAGUCGGAGACGCGUCUCCGGAUGAGUGUACCCGAAGAAAAAGCAUCGGCUAACUCCGUGCCAGCAGCCGCGGUAAUACGGAGGAUGCGAGCGUUAUCCGGAUUUAUUGGGUUUAAAGGGUGCGCAGGCGGGAGAUCAAGUCAGCGGUAAAAGGUCGGGGCUCAACCCCGGCCGGCCGUUGAAACGGGUGUGCUAGAGUGGGAGAGAAGUAUGCGGAAUUCGUGGUGUAGCGGUGAAAUGCAUAGAUAGCACGAAGAACUCCGAUUGCGAAGGCAGCAUACCGGCUCCAGACUGACGCUGAGGCACGAAAGCGUGGGGAUCGAACAGGAUUAGAUACCCCGGUAGUC
Molecule: ribosomal RNA, 459 nt
Filed under: uncultured bacterium
Lineage: Bacteria
Description: partial 16S ribosomal RNA
Rfam family: Bacterial small subunit ribosomal RNA
Source: RNAcentral